AAAUAACCUCGUAACUUCGGGAGAAGAGGAGCCCUUGAGGGUCAGUAUCCACGCGAUACAAAGCGCUCGAGGGUCGCAGUGAAGAGGCUCAAGCAACUGUUUAACAAAAACACAGGUCUAUGCUAAGCUGGAAGGCGAUGUAUAUGGGCUGACACCUGCCCAGUGCUGGAAGGUUAAGAGGAGGAGUGAGAGCUCCGAAUUGAAGCCCCAGUGAACGGCGGCCGUAACUAUAACGGNNNNNNNNNNGGGUAUGCGCGCGGACGAACGGAAGUGUCCGUAGAAGUAUGUAGGAUGACUUGAUAGGAAAAUCCAUUGAGUUAUAUCUGAGGUAUGAUAUACAGUCGUAAGAUGAAUGCGCAAAUCCCACGCUGCCAAGAAAAGCUUCUAACGUUAAUAUUUGACUGCCCGUACUGCAAACCGACACAGGUGGUCAGGAUGAGAAAUCUAAGGCGGACAGGCUAACUCUCGUUAAGGAACUCUGCAAAAUAACCUCGUAACUUCGGGNNNNNNNNNNAACGGUCCUAAGGUAGCGAAAUUCCUUGUCGGGUAAGUUCCGACCUGCACGAAUGGUGUAAUGAUUUGAGCGCUGUCUUGACGGGAGGCCUGGUGAAAUUGUAUUACCGGUGAAGAUACCGGUUACCUACAGUAGGACGGAAAGACCCCAUGGAGCUUUACUGUAGCUUGGUAUUGGGUUUUGGCAUUGCAUGUAUAGGAUAGUUGGGAGACUGAGAUGAUAUGGCGCUAGCUGUAUCGGAGUCAUCGGUGGAAUACCAACCAUUCAAUGCUGAAAUUCUAAUCUGUGGUUUGUAGCCACGGAGACAGUGCUAGGUGGGCAGUUUGACUGGGGCGGUCGCCUCCGAAAGAG
Molecule: ribosomal RNA, 865 nt
Filed under: Rothia sp. (in: high G+C Gram-positive bacteria)
Lineage: Bacteria; Bacillati; Actinomycetota; Actinomycetes; Micrococcales; Micrococcaceae
Description: Rothia sp. (human oral metagenome) partial 23S ribosomal RNA
Rfam family: Bacterial large subunit ribosomal RNA
Source: RNAcentral